Long non-coding RNA from Oncorhynchus tshawytscha (Chinook salmon), 1456 nucleotides. Lineage: Eukaryota; Metazoa; Chordata; Actinopteri; Salmoniformes; Salmonidae. The record is from Ensembl.
CUGUUUAUCUUCCUCGCUCUCCUCUUUCUCCUCCUGUUUAUCUUCCUCGCUCUCCUCUUUCUCCUCCUGUUUAUCUUCCUCGCUCUCCUCUUUCUCCUUCUGUUUAUCUUUCUCACUCUCCUCUUUCUCCUUCUGUUUAUCUUUCUCACUCUCCUCUUUGUCCUUCUUGCUCUCCUCUUUCUCAACCCCCCACACGCUUUCUUUCUUGCCCCCCUUCUUCCCCAGGUCUCUCUUCUUCCCAUACAGCCUCUCCUGGAUCCUGUCGUUCAGUCGGCCCAACUCUUCCACCCCCAGAUCCAGCCCAACAGUCUGCAGCAGGCUCUGGAUCUGUCCGUACUUCUGCUCAUCCUCAGGCCUCAUUUUCCUCUUCUCCUCCACCUGUGGAGACAUGGACUUAAGCCUCUCUUUCCUCUUCUCCUCAACAGGUGGAGACAUGGACUUAAGCCUCCCUUUCCCCUUCUCCACAACAGGUGGAGACAUGGACUUAAGCCUCUCUUUCCUCUUCUCCUCAACAGGUGGAGACAUGGACUUAAGCCUCCCUUUCCUCUUCUCCUCAACAGGUGGAGACAUGGACUUAAGCCUCUCUUUCCUCUUCUCCUCAACAGGUGGAGACUUGGACUUAAGCCUCCCUUUCCUCUUCUCCUCAACAGGUGGAGACUUGGACUUAAGCCUCCCUUUCCCCUUCGGCUCAACAGGUGGAGACUUGGACUUAAGCCUCCCUUUCCUCUUCUCCUCAACAGGUGGAGACUUGGACUUAAGCCUCCCUUUCCUCUUCUCCUCAACAGGUGGAGACUUGGACUUAUGCCUUCCUUUCCCCUUCGGCUCAACAGGUGGAGACUUGGACUUAAGCCUCCCUUUCCUCUUCUCCUCAACAGGUGGAGACUUGGACUUAAGCCUCCCUUUCCUCUUCUCCUCAACAGGUGGAGACUUGGACUUAUGCCUUCCUUUCCCCUUCGGCUCAACAGGUGGAGACUUGGACUUAAGCCUCCCUUUCCUCGUCUCAUCCACCUGUGUAGACUUGGGCUUUUUGUUUUUUGGGCUAUCCAUAGCCUGGAUGAAGCCUAAGCUAAGGCUAUGUUGCCCAAUCUCUCCUCCUCCAUUUUGUAAGAGACUGCGGUGCUGUGGCAGAACGUUACCUGCUUGGGCCACUUGACGCAACAGAUCCCCAAACGGAUUGGGCUGAACCCCGAGUAGUGUGGGCUGACCCCAGAGUAUAUUGAACGAACCUUGUGGGAACUCAUCAAAUCGGGAGCGCCUUUUGCGAGAGGGCACCUUCCUCUCAUUCUUAGAGUUGGUCUCGGGCUGGCCAUGAAGUGGAGGCGGCUGACCUUGUGGCAGCUCCUCUCCCAUAGAGGGUAAAUCCUUGAAAUUGUUGACAAUCUUUGAGAGCCUGUCGAUGUCCACCCCUUUGUUGAGGACAUCGAGGAAGUGCUGGAAGCCCUUGGCUGCUUUGUCC